RNAcentral lists this ribosomal RNA (405 nucleotides) under uncultured bacterium. RNAcentral's name for it is "partial 16S ribosomal RNA". It matches the Rfam family "Bacterial small subunit ribosomal RNA", at positions 30 to 526 of the family's 1533-position model. The record is from RNAcentral.
AUUGAACGCUGGCGGCAGGCUUAACACAUGCAAGUCGAACGAGUGGCGGACGGGUGAGUAAUGCUUGGGAAUCUAGCUUAUGGAGGGGGAUAACUACGGGAAACUGUAGCUCAUACCGCGUACCCUAGGAUGAGCCCAAUGGGGAUUAGGUAGUUGGUGAGGUAAAGGCUCACCAAGCCGACGCUCUCUAGCUGGUCUGAGAGGAUGACCAGCCACACUGGGACUGAGGCACGGGCCAGACUCCUACGGGAGGCAGCAGGGGGGAAUAGUGCGACAUGGGGGAAACCCUACGCAGCCAUGCCGCGUGAAUGAAGAAGGCCUUCGGGUUUUAAAGUUCUUUCUGUAGCGAGGCGUUAACUACAGAAGAAGCACCGGCUAACUCCGUGCCAGCCGCCGCGGUAAUUC